CUAAUAUAAUGAAUUAAAAAAAACUGAUCUUUGUUCCUUAUAUUGCGAUCAUUCACAACCACGCAACGGGGGUUCGUUGCAUUCGUGAGUGUCGAAGGUGGGUUGACCAGCUGUUUUCUCGUCCCGCCAUCGUCACUGAGAGUGAGAGCUCACGCGUGACUUCGUUCGAGAGUGAUUCGAAUUUUCCCAUUUUGCUAUCAUGAUGGUUUGUAGCGCGUCGGAUCCCACACACUGUUCCAGUUUCGCAACGAACUCGCCCGGUGCUGGAAGGCAUACAUAACUGUGUUCCGGUGUACGUUGUCUAGGCGCAUUUUUCGAACGUAUGAAAAUCUCGAUCCUCGUACACGGUGGACAGGUGGAAAAUGUAGUACGGAGUACGUAUUGACGCGUGUGUGUGCUUUUUGUUGUGCAGUGUCGCCUUCUCUUUCACGGUACGACAUUUAUUAAAUGACAACAAGUAGAUCUAAACUUUAAUUUCUUAUCCAAAAACCCUAACCCGAGUGCUGACAGAGUGCCGUUAAUGAAUAAUCAAGAUGGGCAGUGUGAAAGUCGAUGAAAUCUGCCACGCUGUCGGAGAUACAUAAAUGUCAAAUGUGACAGGUCGAUCGAUCCAACUGUCAGAAGCAUACGCGUUGAAAUAGUGCAAGUGCGGUUGCAAUCAGUGGAGUGGAAAAAAAAAGUUAGUGUACCGUUACAGGUGCUUAAUGCAUGGCGCUUCAACUAGUACGAAACCAGAGUUUCAAGUGAUAAUAUCCCCCCACUCUACGAGUGGAGUGGUAAAUACGAUGUGUUCAGCCGGUGUCAAGAAGCGCGAUGACCAGGUGACAUUGUGAAGAUUUGAGAGUGAUUUAAACCCCAUCAUCACCGGUAAUCCUUCGUAGACGUGUGGAUUGUGCGAUUGUUGGAACAAAAUCACCUCCUUGCACUCGGCGAAUCGGAAUUGGGGGAUAUCUUCCCUAUAUCCCCCGCGUGUCAACAAAACUUCGGGCGAGUGGUUUAUUUGUGAGGUUAAUUGUGUAGAAAAGCGGAGAAACCUAAUCGUAGCGCUGUUGGCACAAAAUUCAAGAGCGCUUCCGAACGUGUGCCGGAUUAGUGCCAAGGUUGAGAUUGGCUGGAGCGGAAAAGCCGGGGUAGGUUCCGUAAUUCGAUUGGUACCGGACAAUAGCCGGUGGUGGAUGUUACGGCGGUAAAAGGAACGGGGAAGAACAACGGAAAGCUAAAAGCAAAUCGACGAUCGU
Molecule: long non-coding RNA, 1238 nt
Organism: Anopheles funestus (African malaria mosquito)
Lineage: Eukaryota; Metazoa; Arthropoda; Insecta; Diptera; Culicidae
Exons: 2
Source: RefSeq, a predicted model, not a curated record